Molecule: transfer RNA, 53 nt
Filed under: Liposcelis sculptilimacula
Lineage: Eukaryota; Metazoa; Arthropoda; Insecta; Psocodea; Liposcelididae
Description: tRNA-Leu
Source: RNAcentral
AUCAAAUUUGUACUUGUUUAAAUUAAGAAAAUUUAGAGAAUCUAAAUUAGAUU